UACGGAGGGAGCUAGCGUUGUUCGGAAUUACUGGGCGUAAAGCGCGCGUAGGCGGUUUUCCAAGUCAGGGGUGAAAGCCCGGGGCUCAACCCCGGAAUAGCCCUUGAAACUGGAAGACUAGAAUCUUGGAGAGGUCAGUGGAAUUCCGAGUGUAGAGGUGAAAUUCGUAGAUAUUCGGAAGAACACCAGUGGCGAAGGCGACUGACUGGACAAGUAUUGACGCUGAGGUGCGAAAGCGUGGGGAG
This 245-nucleotide ribosomal RNA is filed under the name uncultured Sphingopyxis sp. RNAcentral's name for it is "partial 16S ribosomal RNA". It matches the Rfam family "Bacterial small subunit ribosomal RNA", at positions 524 to 768 of the family's 1533-position model. Lineage: Bacteria; Pseudomonadati; Pseudomonadota; Alphaproteobacteria; Sphingomonadales; Sphingopyxidaceae. The record is from RNAcentral.